This 70-nucleotide transfer RNA is filed under the name Arthrobacter phage Mimi. RNAcentral describes it as "tRNA-Met". Lineage: Duplodnaviria; Heunggongvirae; Uroviricota; Caudoviricetes. The record is from RNAcentral.
GCCGAUGCAGCAUGGUGCUGACCUGCCUCUCAUAAGGGCGGUGAACGAGUUCGAUUCUCGUCUUCGGUAC